Molecule: ribosomal RNA, 439 nt
Filed under: uncultured bacterium
Lineage: Bacteria
Description: bacterial LSU rRNA
Rfam family: Bacterial large subunit ribosomal RNA
Source: RNAcentral
GAUUGGUGUAACAGAAAAGGGGGUAGCGACUGUUUAUUAAAAACACAGGACUUUGCUAAAUAGUAAUAUGACGUAUAAGGUCUGACGUCUGCCCGGUGAUGGUUAAUGAAAAAAAAGGUUUAAAUGUUCUUUAAGCUUUUGAUAUAAGUCCCAUUAAACGGCGGCUGUAACCCUGACGGUCCUAAGGUAGCGAAAUUCCUUGUCAAUUAAGUAUUGACCCGCAUGAAUGACGUAACGACUUCCCCACUGUCUCCAGAAUUGAUCCAGUGAAAUUACAAUUUACGUGAAGAUGCGUAAUAUUUACAGCGGGACGGAAAGACCCUAUGCACCUUUACUAUACUUUUAUAUUGAUUAGAAAACAACUUAAAACGAAGAAUAAUUAUAGUUAUAAUUAUAAUUUAGUUAUAGAGACAAGACGUGAAAUAAUAAAUUUUAAGUU